Xenopus laevis (African clawed frog) is the source of this 790-nucleotide long non-coding RNA. RefSeq lists it as uncharacterized. NCBI's taxonomy places the organism in Eukaryota, Metazoa, Chordata, Amphibia, Anura, Pipidae. The transcript has 2 exons. The record is from RefSeq and is a predicted model, not a curated record.
UCUAUAAAAGGACCCCGGAAGCGCGGGUGGGCGCGGGCUGCAGCAGGGCGGGUUAGGGUCGGGUGCGGGUCACACAAGCACAGGGCAUCGAACAAUUAGGUUGCGAGUAGGGUUGCCACCUUUUUAACAUUUCUUUACCGGCUGGUGGGGGGCGGGGACGCAAAGGGGCGGGCCGUGAUGUCAAAAUGGGCAGGGCAUGACGUCAAAGGGGGCGGGGCCGCACCACGGACACUAAACGAACCACAAAGAAAAGGAGCACGUGUUACCUGAUGCAGCAGGGCCAAUGGCCGCUAUAAAUCAGACUAAUGGAACUGCGUCACGUGUGGGUGGCUUCUGCUUAUUCUUGGGCCCUCCGAGUUACCACACAAAAGCAUUAUGUGUAAACAGCCUCCAAUAACCCCCUAAUAUCAAGGACACACACCUUACACAGACCAGCAAGUAUGUAACAGGUUCGCAGCCGCAAGGGAAGACUGAAUAAAAUCCUGCCCCAAAGAAAAAUCCUAAAGCUAGUCAGCGUAAACAACUACUAAGUGGAGCACUGUAGUAGCGUACGGCUCCAGCCAAUCCCCGCGUGACCGCCAUUUGACGAAGGCGCCGAAGGUCACGUGACGGAGACGUUCGUGACGUCACCCACGGCGUCUUAGCUACUGGGAACUAGCAACUAACGAGGCAGCAGAGAUGGCGUACCGCGGGCAAGGAGGCCAGAAAGUGCAGAAAGUGAUGGUGCAGCCCAUCGUAUCCUUUUAUUGUUCUGCUUGUACUUACCAAUAAAACUAUAAUAACAUCUUUA